This is a non-coding RNA of Pseudonaja textilis, 649 nucleotides long. The record is from RefSeq and is a predicted model, not a curated record. Lineage: Eukaryota; Metazoa; Chordata; Lepidosauria; Squamata; Elapidae.
UAAUCUAUUUGACUAUAGAAAAUUGUUGUUCACCUACAGAUAUUACUGGCAUACUUUAAACAGGGCUAACAAAUCUAGGGUAUCAGGGAUUCUUUUCAGCUCUAGACUCAAAGAAAACCAUAACACUACCAAAUAUUUUUCAUGGACCUAUUCACAGCCAGUACCCAGAUGACACUGAAAUUUUGCAUUCUACUAUAUAAAGUUAGUACUAGGUACAAAGGUAUUAUUUUAAACACUGGGGAAGAAAAUAUCUUCUAUCUAAAAUUUUAAGCUUCAGAUUUUUUGGAAGAGUGAAAUUCUAUGGAUGAUAUCUUUAACAAAAAUUAAACUGUAUUCAUUAUUAAAGGAAUGUUUGUACAGGCAGCUGAAAGACUGGCAGUGCCAGGAUCUAAAUUUUCUGUCCAUUAGCCAGAUAAGGUUAAUGUAGUCAUAAUGUUUUGUUGAAUAUUUUAAUCCCAACCUGAGAAAUCACAUCAUCUAUCGGAAAGAAUCAAUUUUUAUAUUAGCUUAACUAUUGGCCUCGCUGGAGAAGAGCCUGCCAAAUUGUAACUGUAAUGAACCAGUUUCCAAAUGAACCAAUUUGUGAUAUGGACCAUAUACAAGUCUUAGUGGAACUAUGAUUUGCCAAUAAAUUCCAAAGCUUGCUUGA